AGAGAGAGACAUGCGCGCAUAUCAAUAAGCGGAGGAAAAGAAACUAACAAGGAUUCCCUUAGUAACGGCGAGUGAAGCGGGAAGAGCUCAAAUUUGAAAUCUUCAAGGUUUACCUUGACGAAUUGUAGUUUAAAGAAGUGUUUUCUGCUGAAGUUUUGGUAAAAGUUCUUUGGAAUAGGACAUCAUAGAGGGUGAGAAUCCCGUAUUUGACCAUUAUUUUCAGCUUUGUGAUACACUUUCAAAGAGUCGGAUUGUUUGGGAAUGCAGUCCAAAAUGGGUGGUAAAUAUCAUCUAAAGCUAAAUAUUGGCGAGAGACCGAUAGCGAACAAGUACCGUGAGGGAAAGAUGAAAAGAACUUUGAAAAGAGAGUUAAACAGUACGUGAAAUUGUCAAAAGGGAAGCGUUUGACACCAGUGUUGUUUUCUCGAAAAUCAAUUAAAAAUGGCUCGAUUUUGUAUUGUUGAGACCUUAAAAGCUCACUGUACAUUUUUCGUGUCUUUUUUAAUGCACUUUUCGUUUAACAAGUCAACAUCAGUUUCUUUUGUUGUAAAAGGGUCAUUGGAAGGUGGCUUUCUUUUCGGAGAAAGUGUUUAUAGCCUUUGGCCUCUGCAAUCGAAGAGACUGAGGUCUGCAGCGUAGACUCUUCGGGGUUAGAUACAUUUGUGCUAAGUUAUAGCUUUUUAUAGACAACUUGUUGACUAUAAUUAGUCUUGUAGCUUACUCGCUUAUGCUAUUUUACCUACGCUUAGGAUGUUGAGUCGUAGAGCACGCAG
This 773-nucleotide ribosomal RNA is filed under the name uncultured Neocallimastigales. RNAcentral's name for it is "partial large subunit ribosomal RNA". It matches the Rfam family "Eukaryotic large subunit ribosomal RNA", at positions 23 to 634 of the family's 3401-position model. Lineage: Eukaryota; Fungi; Neocallimastigomycota; Neocallimastigomycetes; Neocallimastigales. The record is from RNAcentral.